This 207-nucleotide ribosomal RNA is filed under the name uncultured delta proteobacterium. RNAcentral describes it as "partial 16S ribosomal RNA". It matches the Rfam family "Bacterial small subunit ribosomal RNA", at positions 568 to 774 of the family's 1533-position model. Lineage: Bacteria; Deltaproteobacteria. The record is from RNAcentral.
CGUGUAGGCGGUUUGUUUAGUCUGAUGUGAAAGCCCUGGGCUCAACCCAGGAAGUGCAUUGGAAACUGGCAGACUUGAAUACGGGAGAGGGUAGUGGAAUUCCUAGUGUAGGAGUGAAAUCCGUAGAUAUUAGGAGGAACACCGGUGGCGAAGGCGACUGCCUGGACCGAUAUUGACGCUGAGACGCGAAAGCGUGGGUAGCAAACA